RNAcentral lists this ribosomal RNA (433 nucleotides) under uncultured bacterium. RNAcentral's name for it is "partial 16S ribosomal RNA". It matches the Rfam family "Bacterial small subunit ribosomal RNA", at positions 29 to 507 of the family's 1533-position model. The record is from RNAcentral.
AACGAACGCUGGCGGCAUGCCUAACACAUGCAAGUCGAACGAGACCUUCGGGUCUAGUGGCGCACGGGUGCGUAACGCGUGGGAACCUGCCCUUAGGUUCGGAAUAACUCCCCGAAAGGGGUGCUAAUACCGGAUAACUUCUUCGGAUCAAAGAUUUAUCGCCCUUGGAUGGGCCCGCGUUGGAUUAGCCUGUUGGUAGGGUAAAAGCCUACCAAGGCGACGAUCCAUAGCUGGUCUGAGAGGAUGAUCAGCCACACUGGGACUGAGACACGGCCCAGACUCCUACGGGAGGCAGCAGUGGGGAAUAUUGGACAAUGGGCGAAAGCCUGAUCCAGCAAUGCCGCGUGAGUGAUGAAGGCCUUAGGGUUGUAAAGCUCUUUUACCCGGGAUGAUAAUGACAGUACCGGGAGAAUAAGCUCCGGCUAACUCCGUG